CGAGAUCUCGGUAUAUUAAACACUUUUAUCCGCUCGUUUUCAUUCUUUCCGCGUAAUCUAUUAUGAAUCCAUUGGACUCAAAAGUUAUAAUACUCAUUUUAUUAAGAUUUAUAUCUUCAUAUAAACGGCAGCGUGUACUAUACAGAGCGAGCUAUGGCGUUUCCGGAAAAUGGCGCUGGUAUUAGUAGGAAAGUAUAAAAAAAAAAAAAAAAAAAAAAACCGAAAGUAUUUUACAUAACAUAGGUAAGUCAUUGUUGCAGGUUGAAUAACGGGAGAGUAAGUUGUACUAUAGUUGUUUGAAAACUGA
This is a non-coding RNA of Cinara cedri, 307 nucleotides long. NCBI's taxonomy places the organism in Eukaryota, Metazoa, Arthropoda, Insecta, Hemiptera, Aphididae. The record is from the annotation of a GenBank genome assembly.